UUGUCAGCUGCUUUUGUCUCUAAGUAUUUUUUUCUUUUUAUUAUACUUCUAACUUCUUUAAUUAUAUGUAUAUAAUACUUAGACACUUAGGAUUUGUAUGUAUAUAUGCAGGCACCAAAUGAGAGAGCUCAGAAUCAGAAAUGACAAUAGUAUUGGGUUCGUUGACCCUUAUAUUGUUUUCAAAGCUCCGCAGGCAAUGUGGACAGCAGCUCAUGAGACAG
This 221-nucleotide long non-coding RNA is filed under the name Sorghum bicolor (sorghum). Its description in RNAcentral is "long non-coding RNA (SBIC_LNC016407)". The record is from RNAcentral. Lineage: Eukaryota; Viridiplantae; Streptophyta; Magnoliopsida; Poales; Poaceae.